GAUGAACGCUGGCGGUAUGCCUUACACAUGCAAGUCGUACGAGAGUUUUUAACUCAAGUGGCGGACGGGUGAGUAACACGUAAGAAUUUGCCUUUAGGAGGGGGACAACUGCUGGAAACGGCUGCUAAUACCCCAUAUGCUUUCGAGUGAAAUGGAUUUUCCGCCUAAAGAGAAGCUUGCGGCUGAUUAGCUUGUUGGUGAGGUAAUAGCUCACCAAGGCGACGAUCAGUAUCG
RNAcentral lists this ribosomal RNA (234 nucleotides) under uncultured bacterium. RNAcentral's name for it is "partial 16S ribosomal RNA". It matches the Rfam family "Bacterial small subunit ribosomal RNA", at positions 28 to 288 of the family's 1533-position model. The record is from RNAcentral.